RNAcentral lists this long non-coding RNA (325 nucleotides) under Gallus gallus (chicken). The record is from RNAcentral. Lineage: Eukaryota; Metazoa; Chordata; Aves; Galliformes; Phasianidae.
CUGCUCUGCAGUGUGAGAUGUGGUCACUCACACAGACUCCUAAUACAGCCCACCGCAUGUAGUCUGGCAAGGUUUUAUUAGCCUCUUCCCCACCAAGCAUGAUGCAAUAGAAGGAACACCAAGCUGAGAUAAAGGUGACAUGGGGAACUGUUGUAGGCAGCUUGAAGGUAUAACUAUAUGCGAAAGCCCCACUGGUUCUGGAGUUGGCCUAUGGAUUUGCAAUGAAUGGAGCAACCAGAAAGGAAUGCAGAUAUAACGGAGAGCCCUCCCUGCCAUCUGCACCCAUGAGCCCACUGCAUCACAGGAUUUUUGCAGGCCCUGCCAU